GGAUGAACGCUGGCGGCGUGCCUAAUACAUGCAAGUCGAGCGAACAGACGAGAGUGCUUGCACUCUCUGACGUUAGCGGCGGACGGGUGAGUAACACGUGGGUAACCUACCUAUAAGACUGGGAUAACUUCGGGAAACCGGAGCUAAUACCGGAUAAUAUUUAGCUUCGCAUGAAGCAAUAGUGAAAGACGGUUCUGCUGUCACUUAUAGAUGGACCCGCGGUGUAUUAGCUAGUUGGUGAGGUAACGGCUCACCAAGGCAACGAUACAUAGCCGACCUGAGAGGGUGAUCGGCCACACUGGGACUGAGACACGGCCCAGACUCCUACGGGAGGCAGCAGUAGGGAAUCUUCCGCAAUGGACGAAAGUCUGACGGAGCAAUGCCGCGUGAGUGAAGAAGGUUUUCGGAUCGUAAAACUCUGUUGUAAGGGAAGAACAAGUACGUUAGUAACUGAACGUACCUUGACGGUACCUUACCAGAAAGCCACGGCUAACUACGUG
Molecule: ribosomal RNA, 500 nt
Filed under: uncultured bacterium
Lineage: Bacteria
Description: partial 16S ribosomal RNA
Rfam family: Bacterial small subunit ribosomal RNA
Source: RNAcentral